Molecule: ribosomal RNA, 328 nt
Filed under: uncultured eukaryote
Lineage: Eukaryota
Description: partial 18S ribosomal RNA
Rfam family: Eukaryotic small subunit ribosomal RNA
Source: RNAcentral
CCCUUAGAUGUUCUGGGCUGCACGCGCGCUACACUGAUGCACUCAACGAGUUUACGACCUUGUCCGAGAGGAUUGGGUAAUCUUUUUAAAAUGCAUCGUGAUGGGGAUAGAUUAUUGCAAUUAUUAAUCUUCAACGAGGAAUUCCUAGUAAGCGCGAGUCAUCAGCUCGUGCUGAUUACGUCCCUGCCCUUUGUACACACCGCCCGUCGCUCCUACCGAUUGGGUGUGCUGGUGAAAUGUUCGGAUCGGCCGUUUGUCGCGGUUUCCGCGGCUCGUGGCUGAGAAGUUCAUUAAACCCUCCCACCUAGAGGAAGGAGAAGUCGUAACA